Long non-coding RNA from Chiroxiphia lanceolata (lance-tailed manakin), 411 nucleotides. RefSeq lists it as uncharacterized. The transcript has 3 exons. NCBI's taxonomy places the organism in Eukaryota, Metazoa, Chordata, Aves, Passeriformes, Pipridae. The record is from RefSeq and is a predicted model, not a curated record.
GACAGGGGCGAGCAGGGCUUUGCCUCUGCCUUCCUCUGGCCAUGGAGUUGAACUUAGCUCAGGGUGGGCAAUGAAAGACAUGACUGGCAGAGGAAGAUGCUGCACAUUCCUUUGUUUACCUGCUUUCCUCUCUGUUUACUGCAGCCACCAAGUCCAGAAUAUUCUGGGAGGGUUAUGUAUCACCAAAAAAUAGAGCCUGAGCACCGAGGAAGCAAUGAAAGAGUGUGAGCUGUGAAUGGAACAACAACUGGCAGAGCAGAAGGGUUGGGCAGAUAGACUGUGGUGCUUAAAUAUGUCAGAUCCAGGCUUGGUAUUCUGUGAGGCAUACAGGGCAAGAAGUGCUUAUUCCAUAUUUUUGUUGGUGUUUUUUUUUUGUUUUGUUGUUUGUUUGUUUUAAAGUUAAUUGAUUUU